RNAcentral lists this ribosomal RNA (468 nucleotides) under uncultured bacterium. RNAcentral describes it as "partial 16S ribosomal RNA". It matches the Rfam family "Bacterial small subunit ribosomal RNA", at positions 28 to 507 of the family's 1533-position model. The record is from RNAcentral.
GACGAACGCUGGCGGCGUGCUUAACACAUGCAAGUCGAACGGAAAGGCCCUGCUUUUGUGGGGUGCUCGAGUGGCGAACGGGUGAGUAACACGUGAGUAACCUGCCCUUGACUUUGGGAUAACUUCAGGAAACUGGGGCUAAUACCGGAUAGGAGCUCCUGCUGCAUGGUGGGGGUUGGAAAGUUUCGGCGGUUGGGGAUGGACUCGCGGCUUAUCAGCUUGUUGGUGGGGUAGUGGCUUACCAAGGCUUUGACGCGUAGCCGGCCUGAGAGGGUGACCGGCCACAUUGGGACUGAGAUACGGCCCAGACUCCUACGGGAGGCAGCAGUGGGGAAUAUUGCACAAUGGGCGGAAGCCUGAUGCAGCAACGCCGCGUGCGGGAUGACGGCCUUCGGGUUGUAAACCGCUUUCGCCUGUGACGAAGCGUGAGUGACGGUAAUGGGUAGAGAAGCACCGGCUAACUACGUG